GACGAACGCUGGCGGCGUGCUUAACACAUGCAAGUCGAACGGAAAGGCCCCUUUCGGGGUAUUCUCGUGGGGAGAAGGGGUGAAUCACGCGUGUGUAACCUGCUCUUGUCCUUGAGAUAUCUUCGGGACACGGGGGCUUACAGCGGAGAAAUGCUUCCGCUACGUGGUGGGGGGUGGAGAGUUUCGGCGGUUGGGGGUGGACUCGCGGCUUAUCAGCUUGUUGGUGGGGUAGUGGCUUACCAAGGCUUUGACGGGUAGCGGGCCUGAGAGGGUGACCGGCCACAUUGGGACUGAGAUACGGCCCAGACUCCUACGGGAGGCAGCAGUGGGGAAUAUUGCACAAUGGGUGGAAGCCUGAUGCAGCAACGCCGUGUGCGGGAUGACGGCCUUCGGGUUGUAAACCGCUUUCGCUCGCGACGAAGCUUUGUGUGACGGUAGUUGGUAAAGAAGCACCGGCUAACUACGUG
Molecule: ribosomal RNA, 467 nt
Filed under: uncultured bacterium
Lineage: Bacteria
Description: partial 16S ribosomal RNA
Rfam family: Bacterial small subunit ribosomal RNA
Source: RNAcentral